Molecule: ribosomal RNA, 482 nt
Filed under: uncultured bacterium
Lineage: Bacteria
Description: partial 16S ribosomal RNA
Rfam family: Bacterial small subunit ribosomal RNA
Source: RNAcentral
AUUGAACGCUGGCGGCAUGCUUUACACAUGCAAGUCGAACGGUAACAGCACUUCGGUGGCUGACGAGUGGCGAACGGGUGAGUAAUACAUCGGAACGUGCCUAGUAGUGGGGGAUAACUACUCGAAAGAGUAGCUAAUACCGCAUGAGAUCUAAGGAUGAAAGCAGGGGACCUUCGGGCCUUGCGCUACUAGAGCGGCUGAUGGCAGAUUAGGUAGUUGGUGGGAUAAAAGCUUACCAAGCCGACGAUCUGUAGCUGGUCUGAGAGGACGACCAGCCACAAUGGGACCGAGACACGGCCCAGACUCCUACGGGAGGCAGCAGUGGGGAAUUUUGGACAAUGGGCGCAAGCCUGAUCCAGCAAUGCCGCGUGCAGGAUGAAGGCCUUCGGGUUGUAAACUGCUUUUGUACGGAACGAAAAGCCCUCUUCUAAUACAGGAGGGUCAUGACGGUACCGUAAGAAUAAGCACCGGCUAACUACGUG